GCAGUAGCCGCGGUAAUACGAGGGGUGCAAGCGUUAUUCGGAUUGAUUGGGUGUAAAGGGUGUGCAGACGGCUUAUUAAGUCACUUGUUAAAUUCUUCGGCCUAACUGAAGGUCUGCAAGUGAUACUGAUGAGCUAGAGGGUGGAAGAGAGAAGUGGAAUUCUCGGAGUAGCGGUAAAAUGCGUAGAUCUCGAGAGGAACACCAAUGGCGAAGGCAGCUUCUUGGUCCAUUCCUGACGUUCAUACACGAAAGCGUGGGGAGCAAACAGGAUUAGAUACCCCCGUAGUCCCUGUCUCUUAUAC
This 302-nucleotide ribosomal RNA is filed under the name uncultured bacterium. Its description in RNAcentral is "partial 16S ribosomal RNA". It matches the Rfam family "Bacterial small subunit ribosomal RNA", at positions 508 to 807 of the family's 1533-position model. The record is from RNAcentral.